This 678-nucleotide ribosomal RNA is filed under the name Triticum aestivum (bread wheat). Its description in RNAcentral is "partial small subunit ribosomal RNA". The record is from RNAcentral. Lineage: Eukaryota; Viridiplantae; Streptophyta; Magnoliopsida; Poales; Poaceae.
AUGGCAGCACUCUCGCUCCCCGAUGACAUCCUCCUCGAGAUCCUCGUCCGCGUCAAGGACCCGGCUGCUCUCUUCCGCUGCGCCAUGGCGUGCAACCAUUGGAGCCGUCUCGUCGUCGAUCCCUCCUUCCUCCGGCGCCGCUGGCCAGAGGACGCGUCCUCCUCCUUCAUCGGCUUCUUCACAGGGGAACGCCGCCGACCCUACCUAAGACAGGACCCGCCGCCGGAGCCCUUGUUCGUCUCUGUGCAGCGCUCGCCUAUGGGCCCUUGCUGCUGCACCCUCGCCUCCAUCGUGUCCACUACCCGCGCCGACCUCUUUAAAUAUGCGGUGCCGAUCGUCUCGCGCCACAAUCUCCUCUUGCUGCGCAGCACCAGCGGGACUGUCACGCCAAAUCAGACCAUCCUGCAGCUGGCGGUAUGCGACAUGGUCGUUGGUACGUGCGACAGGCUCCCUCCUCUCGAGUUUAGCUCCGAUUUCAGCGAUUACAACUCGAACGGCUACGCCAUUCUAACCGCUGCGGAUUGUCAUGAGCUGUCACCGUGGGGCAACACUUGGCCUUUCUUCAAAGUGGUAAUCAUCGGCUCCAGCUACAGUUUCCUCAAGUAUGACCUCCAUGUGUUCUCGUCCGACAAAGCAAGCUGGAGCGUGAGCACCAAUUGCUUCGGUGCUAACUGCUAA